UCGGCGUUGUGUUUGUCAUAUAAAAGAUUUAAAAAUAGAUUUUCUUUUCUAUUUUACCGUAGGCUUAUCAAUCAUAAAAUCCCAUUUUAGCUUUAAAAUUUCAAUUCUAUUAGUUCAUCAUGUCUGAUGAAUUAUGAACAUAUUGUGCUUAGCUUUGCUUACAUUUAUGGCCACCUUAGUUUCGAAACCUGAGAUUAUUGUGCAACCUGCUUGAUCAGAGAGAAGAAAUUAUAUUAUUAUAUAUCUUGUUACUGUAUCAAAGUUCAAGAAGCUAGCUAUUUAUGUCUAUGCUCCUGUAAUGUUUGAAACCUGUUUUUGGUGAGCUACUUGCUCUCUCUUUCUUUGAGAGAGCUUUUCUCUGUCGGUUGUUUUUUUCCUUCUGAGGCAAGAGGCCUCGUCUGUGCCAGAUUCUGCAGCUGCCCUUGCCCUUCCCGGGCGGGUUGGCUCCUCCCCCUCCCCCUUCGCCUGAACGUGGGUUGUCUUCCUACCCGUUUGGAUGAAGGUGUAAAUUUCAGAUCUUUGCUCUUGUAUGGUGGAACGCAGUUACAGAAGGGUCGUGGUUUGGAUUCGAGACACUUCCCCUUCUUACUGCUAGCUGGUGGGAAGAUCUUAUGGAACCCUGGCUCGAGUGAGGCCGACCUUCCCUUUCUUAAGCGUCUGGUCCUUUUGUCACCAAUCGGCCGGCUUGCAUGUAUUAUUUUUGUUGUUUCCAUUGCCUCUUGUUCUUUGGGUUUUGCCCACUAUCUGCCUUUGCUGGGUUUUCUCCUUGAUUUCCAAUCGUUUGAGAAGGCUUCAGCCACUUUGGAGGAGUAAACCAUCCGGUAUCCUAUUCGGCUAUGGUGGUCGGAAAUCCAGAGGAGAGGGGUGGCGUUUCCGGUGAGCUUUGCCGAGUUGGAUGUGGGUCAACGGAUUUGGGUCUUAGAGUUUGUGGAACUUUGGGCUUUUUCUCUUUUUGGGCUUUUGAGACCUUUUGAUUUUGUUGGAGUUUUCUGUUUGGCUAUAGGCUGCAUUAUGUAAUCUUCGGCCUUUUUGUGGCCUGUU
Molecule: long non-coding RNA, 1041 nt
Organism: Manihot esculenta (cassava)
Lineage: Eukaryota; Viridiplantae; Streptophyta; Magnoliopsida; Malpighiales; Euphorbiaceae
Exons: 2
Source: RefSeq, a predicted model, not a curated record